GACGAACGCUGGCGGCGUGCUUAACACAUGCAAGUCGAACGGUAAGGCCCUUCGGGGUACACGAGUGGCGAACGGGUGAGUAACACGUGGUGAUCUGCCCUGCACUUCGGGAUAAGCCUGGAAACUGGGUCUAAUACCGGAUAGGACCAUGGACUUCACGGUUUGUGGUGGAAAGCUUUGCGGUGUGGGAUGGGCCCGCGGCCUAUCAGCUUGUUGUGGGGUAAUGGCCUACCAAGGCGACGACGGGUAGCCGGCCUGAGAGGGUGUCCGGCCACACUGGGACUGAGAUACGGCCCAGACUCCUACGGGAGGCAGCAGUGGGAAUAUUGCACAAUGGGCGCGAAGCCUGAUGCAGCGACGCCGCGUGAGGGAUGACGGCCUCGG
Molecule: ribosomal RNA, 384 nt
Filed under: uncultured bacterium
Lineage: Bacteria
Description: bacterial SSU rRNA
Rfam family: Bacterial small subunit ribosomal RNA
Source: RNAcentral